AACGCAUAUUGCGCCCUUUGGCAUUCCGAAGGGCAUACCUGUUCGAGCGUCAUUACACCUCUCAAAGGUAACUCUUUGGCGUUGGGCAAUGCCUAAAGGCAUGCCUCAAAAUCAGCGAUGGUGAUAUUCAACCACAGGCGCACAAACGUCGUCUAGCUGGCGGGAUGUUGUCAGUCAAUUGAUGAAUUUCUAAUUAUUGACCUCGGAUCAGGUAGGAAUACCCGCUGAACUUAA
RNAcentral lists this unclassified non-coding RNA (234 nucleotides) under uncultured fungus. RNAcentral's name for it is "sequence contains ITS2". The record is from RNAcentral. Lineage: Eukaryota; Fungi.